GAUGAAGAACGCAGUGAAAUGCGAUAAGUAAUGUGAAUUGCAGAAUUCAGUGAAUCAUCGAAUCUUUGAACGCACAUUGCGCCCCUUGGUAUUCCGGGGGGCAUGCCUGUUCGAGCGUCAUUAUCACCCCUCAAGCUCAGCUUGGUGUUGGGGCCUGCCCGUCACAGGGCAGCCCUUAAAAGCAGUGGCGGUGCCAUCUGGCUCUACGCGUAGUAAUACUUCUCGCGACAGAGUCCCGGUGGUGUCCUGCCAGAACCCCCCAUAUUUUUAAUGAUUGACCUCGGAUCAGGUAGGGAUACCCGCUGAACUUAAGCAUAUCAAUAAGCGGAGGA
This 332-nucleotide unclassified non-coding RNA is filed under the name soil metagenome. RNAcentral describes it as "partial contains 5.8S ribosomal RNA, internal transcribed spacer 2, and large subunit ribosomal RNA". The stretch from base 1 to 120 matches the Rfam family "5.8S ribosomal RNA", at positions 35 to 154 of the family's 154-position model. The record is from RNAcentral.